Molecule: ribosomal RNA, 513 nt
Filed under: uncultured bacterium
Lineage: Bacteria
Description: bacterial SSU rRNA
Rfam family: Bacterial small subunit ribosomal RNA
Source: RNAcentral
AGAGUUUGAUCCUGGCUCAGGAUGAACGCUAGCGGCAGGCCUAAUACAUGCAAGUCGAACGGGAAGAGCCCUUCGGGGUCUGAGAGUGGCGCACGGGUGCGUAACGCGUAUGCAACCAACCCUUUCCGGGGGACAGCCGGUGGAAACGCCGGGUAAUACCCCAUGUUGACGGGAGGAGACAUCUCCAUCCGUUGAAAGACCUCGGUCGGAGAGGGACGGGCAUGCGUCCCAUUAGCUGGUUGGCGGGGCAAUGGCCCACCAAGGCUACGAUGGGUAGGGGAUCUGAGAGGACGGUCCCCCACACUGGUACUGAGACACGGACCAGACUCCUACGGGAGGCAGCAGUAAGGAAUAUUGGGCAAUGGGGGGAACCCUGACCCAGCCAUGCCGCCGUGAGGGAUGUAGGCCCUACGGGUCGUGAACCUCUUUUGUCCGGGGACAAGGACGUGCACGUGAUGCACGUUUGCGGGUACCGGACGAAUAAGCAUCGGCUAACUCCGUGCCAGCCGCGGC